AUGCCUCAAAUAGCACCUCUUUUAUGAUUAAAUCUAUUUUUUAUAUUUCUUAUUGGAUUUCUUUUAUUUUUUAUUCUAAACUAUUUUAUAAAAUCUCCACUUAAAAUGUCCCCUUCAAUUGAACUAAAAGCUCAACACCAAAAAACCUGAAAAUGAUAA
Molecule: unclassified non-coding RNA, 159 nt
Filed under: Homarus americanus (American lobster)
Lineage: Eukaryota; Metazoa; Arthropoda; Malacostraca; Decapoda; Nephropidae
Description: aTP synthase protein 8
Source: RNAcentral